GGGGGGGCAAGCGUUGUUCGGAAUUACUGGGCGUAAAGGGCUCGUAGGUGGCCAACUAAGUCGGACGUGAAAUCCCUCGGCUUAACCGGGGAACUGCGUCCGAUACUGGUUGGCUUGAGUUUGGGAGAGGGAUGCGGAAUUCCAGGUGUAGCGGUGAAAUGCGUAGAUAUCUGGAGGAACACCGGUGGCGAAGGCGGCAUCCUGGACCAAUACUGACGCUGAGGAGCGAAAGCCAGGGGAGCAAACGGGAUUAGAUACCCCGGUAGUCCUGGCCCUAAACGAUGAAUGCUUGGUGUGGCGGGUAUCGAUCCCUGCCGUGCCGAAGCUAACGCAUUAAGCAUUCCGCCUGGGGAGUACGGUCGCAAGGCUG
This 370-nucleotide ribosomal RNA is filed under the name uncultured organism. RNAcentral's name for it is "bacterial SSU rRNA". It matches the Rfam family "Bacterial small subunit ribosomal RNA", at positions 528 to 896 of the family's 1533-position model. The record is from RNAcentral.